UACGAAGGGGGCGAGCGUUAUUCGGAUUUAUUGGGCGUAAAGGGCGCGUAGGCGGCUGGGCAAGUCUGGUGUGAAAACGCUACCGCUCAACGGAGCGAUUGCGCUGGAAACUGCCCAACUUGAGUGCAGGAGAGGCAUGCGGAAUACCCGGUGUAGCGGUGGAAUGCUUAGAGAUCGGGUAGAACAUCUGAGGCGAAGGCGGCAUGCUGGCCUGUAACUGACGCUGAGGCGCGAAAGCGUGGGGAUCAAA
This 250-nucleotide ribosomal RNA is filed under the name uncultured bacterium. Its description in RNAcentral is "partial 16S ribosomal RNA". It matches the Rfam family "Bacterial small subunit ribosomal RNA", at positions 524 to 772 of the family's 1533-position model. The record is from RNAcentral.